GCGGUAGUAGCUCAGGGGUUAGAGCGCCUGAUUGUGGUUCAGGAGGUCGUGGGUUCAAGUCCCAUCUGCCGCCCCA
RNAcentral lists this transfer RNA (76 nucleotides) under Armatimonadota bacterium. Its description in RNAcentral is "Armatimonadetes bacterium (sediment metagenome) tRNA-His". It matches the Rfam family "tRNA". Rfam says of the family: Transfer RNA (tRNA) molecules are approximately 80 nucleotides in length. Their secondary structure includes four short double-helical elements and three loops (D, anti-codon, and T loops). Lineage: Bacteria; Bacillati; Armatimonadota. The record is from RNAcentral.